UACGGGGGGGGCAAGCGUUGUUCGGAAUUACUGGGCGUAAAGGGCUCGUAGGCGGCCAACUAAGUCGGACGUGAAAUCCCCAGGCUCAACCUGGGAACUGCAUCCGAUACUGGAUGGCUUGAAUUCGGGAGAGGGAUGCGGAAUUCCAGGUGUAGCGGUGAAAUGCGUAGAUAUCUGGAGGAACACCGGUGGCGAAGGCGGGUCUCUGGGCAACAACUGACGCUGAGGAGCGAAAGCGUGGGGAGCGAACAGG
RNAcentral lists this ribosomal RNA (253 nucleotides) under uncultured bacterium. RNAcentral describes it as "partial 16S ribosomal RNA". It matches the Rfam family "Bacterial small subunit ribosomal RNA", at positions 524 to 776 of the family's 1533-position model. The record is from RNAcentral.